CGACAGAUCCCUUCGGGGUGAAGAUGAAAUGGAUUAGCGGCGGACGGGUGAGUAACACGUGAGUAACCUGCCUUUGACAUUGGGAUAGCCUCGGGAAACUGGGAUUAAUACCAAGUGACACUAACUGAUCACAUGAUCAAUUAGUCAAAGAAAUUCGGUCAAAGAUGGACUCGCGGCUGAUUAGCUAGUUGGUGAGGUAACGGCCCACCAAGGCGACGAUCAGUAGCCGGCCUGAGAGGGUGACCGGCCACAUUGGAACUGAGACACGGUCCAAACUCCUACGGGAGGCAGCAGUGGGGAAUAUUGCACAAUGGGGGAAACCCUGAUGCAGCGACGCCGCGUGAGCGAAGAAGGCCUUCGGGUCGUAAAGCUCUUUUAUGAGGGAAGAUAAUGACGGUACCUCAAGAAAAAGCCCCGGCUAACUACGUGCCAGCAGCCGCGGUAAUACGUAGGGGGCUAGCGUUGUCCGGAAUCACUGGGCGUAAAGGGUUCGCAGGCGGAAUAACAAGUCAGAUGUGAAAGGCAUGGGCUCAACCCAUGUAAGCAUUUGAAACUGUAAUUCUUGAGAAGUGGAGAGGUAAGUGGAAUUCCUAGUGUAGCGGUGAAAUGCGUAGAUAUUAGGAGGAAUACCUGUGGCGAAGGCGACUUACUGGACACAAAUCUGACGCUGAGGAACGAAAGCGCGGGUAGCAAACAGGAUUAGAUACCCUGGUAGUCCACGCCGUAAACGAUGAGUGUAGGUGUCGGGGGAGACCUCGGUGCCGGCGUUAACACAAUAAGCACUCCGCCUGGGGAGUACGUGCGCAAGCAUG
This 812-nucleotide ribosomal RNA is filed under the name uncultured Clostridia bacterium. Its description in RNAcentral is "bacterial SSU rRNA". It matches the Rfam family "Bacterial small subunit ribosomal RNA", at positions 67 to 896 of the family's 1533-position model. The record is from RNAcentral. Lineage: Bacteria; Bacillati; Bacillota; Clostridia.